Molecule: ribosomal RNA, 207 nt
Filed under: uncultured bacterium
Lineage: Bacteria
Description: partial 16S ribosomal RNA
Rfam family: Bacterial small subunit ribosomal RNA
Source: RNAcentral
UUCGUAGGUGGCCUGCUAAGUCAGACGUGAAAUCCCUCAGCUCAACUGGGGAACUGCGUCUGAGACUGGUGGGCUUGAGUGCAGGAGAGGAACGCGGAAUUCCAGGUGUAGCGGUGAAAUGCGUAGAUAUCUGGAGGAACACCGGUGGCGAAGGCGGCGUUCUGGACUGUUACUGACACUGAGGAACGAAAGCCAGGGGAGCAAACG